CUCCCUCCCUCAUCACCGAUCAAUCUCCUACCUUAAACACCUCUCUCUCUCUCUCUCUCUCUCUCUGGAAAUCUCUCUCUCCCUCUCUCUGGAAUAUUGGGAUCACUCACAAAUCAGUCGUCUCUCUCUCUAUCACUCUCUCGAUCUUCAUCGCUCAUCACGGACCCCCUGUACGAUCCCUCGUCUGAAAUUGAAACUAGGUCGAAAUCCAGAGAUGAUCCAGAACUUGACAGAAUGUGUAAGGAGAGAGUUAGAUGGGGUGAUCCUAUGGCACAUUUGGUCAAGAAAAAGUAUCCUGAGCUUGUUCUAUCAGACCUAGGAGAUGAUGAUAAGAUGAAAGAAUCAGGGUUUAUAGUCCCUCAAGGCAUUCCUAGUCACAGCUGGUUAAAAAGAGGAUUAGAUGCUCCUCCAAACCGGUAUGCCAUCAGACCAGGGAGACACUGGGAUGGGGUCGAUCGUAGUAAUGGGUUUGAAAAGGAAAUCUUUAAAAGAACGAAUGAGAAACAGGCCACGGAAAGAGAAGCAUAUCUUUGGUCUGUAUCAGAUAUGUGAAGUGCAAGGACUGUAUUCUUCAUGCUGUUGCUACAGGGGUAAUACUCAGUUUAGUGUUUGUGUUAAGUGGUAGUUAGAGAUGAGUACAAGAAAAAUAGCUUGGAAAAGAAGUUCUGAUGUGCUGUAAAAAAUAAGGAUAGACAAUAAAAGAUGGUUAUAUACAUUGCCUGUAGUGCAUGCAGCCCUGUUCUUGCUUCUAUAAUAUUUUUGGGACAAGUUUUUUUACUAAUAUAAAUUGUUCUUUAGAAUACUCAUGCUUGACUGAUUUACAUCACAAGAUUGAGUGCUCAAUUGGUCACAUGGUUUGUUUUUGAUAUUGUAUACCACCUCAUUAUUUAUCCCAGUUUAAUGAUUUUAUAAGAUGAGUUGCAAUUGAAUGUAUUUAGAUUAGAUUAUAAAAGAGAGGAAUAUGUGUAUGCUCCAUUAAUGUUGAGAAGUUGUGAUGCUGUGCAUUUAUUCCUUCCAUCUAUAUGCUAGCAGCUACAUUGUAUUUGAUUAUGCUUCUACAGCUGUUGUUGUGAAGGGUCUCUUACAGAAGACAACUGAGGAAGAUUUAUCCCAGAUCCUUGUACUUUUCUACUCAAUAUUUUUAAUUACUUCAUUUGUUACUUCAUCUGGACAUAUGUGCAUAAUUAUAUGAGAGUAACAUUUUCAGUUAAUACAAAAACUAUUAUUUUUUGAAUUAUGUAUUGUCCAACUAAGUGUUUUUGCAUUGCGUGAUAGUAAUGUUUUGGUUACGGCAGAGGCUCUUGUAAUAUGUAUAUCUGAUUUUUUACAUUAAGCUGGUCGAUUUUCUUCCCCUCUUUGGCUGUCUAUUUUUCAUGUUCUAUUUAACAAUUAACCAUGAAUUAUACCAAAUUGGUGGAUUUUCUUUCCCUCUUUGGAAGCAGUGUAAUGAGCCACGAACAGCUGAUGCCCUACCAGCAGAUGUGGCAUCGUCAAAUCCCACAACAGUGGGGAAGAAAGGGGAGGCAGGUUAAUUUUUCUGAUGCUUUCACUUGGCGUGCAUUAGGAUCAUGUGUAGGAGAUUUGCUGAGUUGACAUUUCAUCAGGUCCUACCCAUGUCUUCGUUGUCCGUGGGUUGGAUGAAAAUGCUAAUGAAGAAAUGCUUUGUUAUGAGUGUUCCAAACAUGCUCCAAUUAAGGUAAAACAUGCUGGAUUUGUUAUAUAGGUUGCUGUAAUGUAAACAAAAACGGAAAGUCCAUAAUGGCUAAGGGCCGAUAGAUAUAUAAAUAUGUAUUGUUUACUUAUAUAUAAGGUACUGAAAUGUCUAUGCUGUGUUUCAUUCAAAUCUGCUGAAGUUGUACAUAUUUUAAAACUGUAAGAUCUUCGUCUGGUUAGAGACAAAUUUACUCAUGUUUCAAGGGGAUUUGCUUUUUUACAUUUUCAUACGGUAUGUGUAUUUUUUGUUGUUGAUUCAGCUGAAUGCUGACCUGAGUAAAUGUAUUUGUACACAUUAGUUUAUGGGUGAUGUAUAAAUAAGUGGCACGAUGGCAACCAGAGAUUGGGAUGGAAUUCUACCAAUUUUUGGAUUAACGUCAAUCAGUGCAUGCUUCAAACUUAUUAGAUAACUAAAUUUAUCCACAGUAGACUUGUCUCAGCACCCUUCAAAUGGUUUUGCGUUCCUUUCUCCUCAACUACUUGACGUUAAGCAAAGGAGCUGUGUCUCUCUCUGUCUUCAUCCUCCUAUAUUCUACUCCACGCCUCCAACUAUCUAGGUUGGAUGCUAAUUGUGGGAACACCCAAGUAACUCCAAACAUGGAACAAAUACCUAAAUCUCCUUAACAACACUAUAAUGAAUAAUUGGUGCAUUGUCUCCCUCGUGCUUUGUACAUAAAACAUCAAUUUGGAGUGUUGUGCUUUUGUAAAUCCAAAUUGGUGAGAAUCUUCUUAUGUGCAAUAGUUCACCCGAAAAAAUGGCCACCUUUGACCAAAUUCCCUUCUUUUAAGAGAAUAGUUGUUAGUGCUCAUCAACAGUUUUAUAACAAUUUUACAAGAGUGAUCCCACACAGCUCCGACAGAUUCAAGUAAAGUCCAACUGAGUUUUUUUGUCCAUUGUAAUCCCAUCUAGAGCUGGAACUAGCAACUUGAAGUCCCAGAGCAAGUAUCAUGCUGAAAGCUCACCCUGACACUCUUCUACAACAAACUAAUGAGUUUUUAUGCUUGUAUUAUCGUAUGCCAUGAAGAUUUCGCCUCUGAACUGCUAUUGAUGAAUGCACAUUAGUGUUUAAUGUAGAAUUGUGGCAAAGAAUGAGGACUGUUGAGGAGCACAAUUUAUGUGUAUUUUUCUCGAUUACCAUGUAAUGGGCUUGUGGUAAAUUAAGAAAUUCCCAUUUCUGAGUUUCAACAUUUAUUUACCAAGUCUAGCACAAUGGCCCGGCAUAAAGACUAUAUGAUCUUUCAUUUUUGCUCUCAAAAUGUCACUUGAUUUUGUCACACUGAUAUAAUUUUGAUUAGACAAAUGGGACUGCUUAGCUGAUUUAUGAGUUGCAACGGGGCUUCACUUUAAAAACUACUUGAAAGAGAUAAAGCUUGCUUCAAGGAGCAGUAUUCUGGCCAACAAGAAGAAAAUGAGUAAUGUGAAUGUGGAAGCAGAGGAGUCAUGAAGGACAAGCACCCCGUGUAGCUCUUGAUUACAAUCAGCCAUCUGCUUCAGCUGAAGAUAAAUCCAAUUCUGUUGGAGCGUCCACAAGGAGCAGGUACAAAAUGGAAGCAGUGAUCACGAAGGAGAAUAUAACUACCAGUUCUGGAUUUACCACAGCCAGAUCUACAACUGCUGCCCAGUCAGGAUAAGCCAAGGUCGGUGAGUAACAGCUCAGGGGGUACUGUAAAGGGGGUAAUUAGAGGAAGGGUUGUGGUGAAAUCAGAUAUCCUGGAACUUUAGUGGGAGCUUCAUCCUCUUCAUCUGCUGCUCCUGCUGCUGCAUACCCUGCUGGUUCUUCAUCAAUGAAUGCAGAUGCACCCAAAACUGUGACACCUUUUAGAAUAGAUGCAUCUGCUUUGGGUUCUUACACACCACCAGUGACUUCUGGAAGCGGCAAGGGGAGGUUUUCUGAGAUGCCAGUGCAGUCAGCUUCUACUCACAAGGAACAAUCUCAAACUACCUAUCAGGAUUGGGCAGCUGAGAGGAGGAGCUUGUAUGGUUCAACAUCUUCUAUUGGAGACGAUGUAUCUGACCUUGGGAUUGGGGAUUCAAGUAACCUCACUUGACAAUUUGUUAUAUAGUGGCUUAGCCCUUGACUCCAUGUCAUGAAGCCAUUCUUGAAUGCACCUUUUAGAUUGAUAGAAAUACCUGAAAAGAGUAGAAUCAUUGCACUUGGUAAUUUAAGUAGUUUUAUACAUAUAGCCGUGGGACAUUUGAUUUGACAAAAUUUAGUUGAGUUGUGAUUUGUAAGUGUAGUUAUAUAUGAGGUCAGUGGUCGAUUGUUUGCUUUAUGUUUCUCAGUAUUUGUAUUAACUUGUUAGAAAAUCCCUUGUUUUUAGGUAAUCUUGAACUUUCAAGUUCGAGAUUCAUCAUCCAAAAGGGUUUAAUCGAUUCGGUGCCUUUUCCCCCCUGGUGUUGGGGGAGGACAUGGUUUUGGAGAUAGAGUCAUGAGGUGAUUACAGCAGACAAAGCCAUUAAUGAGAGUAAUGUGGGAAACUGGAUGCUUCGCAACAUGGGCUGGUAGGAAGGCUUGGUAAUUGUAGACACCCCAUUUUUGACCGACCUUAAGAAUCAGACGUCACCAGUUGAGCGCUCGGUGAUACUACAUAUCGUGCUCGUUUAGAAGUCUCAGAGUCACGGUCGU
Camellia sinensis is the source of this 4340-nucleotide non-coding RNA. The record is from RefSeq and is a predicted model, not a curated record. Lineage: Eukaryota; Viridiplantae; Streptophyta; Magnoliopsida; Ericales; Theaceae.